Molecule: ribosomal RNA, 839 nt
Filed under: uncultured euryarchaeote
Lineage: Archaea; Methanobacteriati; Methanobacteriota
Description: bacterial SSU rRNA
Rfam family: Archaeal small subunit ribosomal RNA
Source: RNAcentral
AGGUCACUGCUAUUGGGAUUCGACUAAGCCAUGCGAGUCGUGAGGGUUCGGCCCUCGGCAGACGGCUCAGUAACACGUGGAUAAUCUACCCUUAGGUGGAGGAUACCCUCGGGAAACUGAGAAUAAUACUCCAUAGAUCUAGACUGCUGGAAUGCUUUUAGAUCGAAAGAUUUAUCGCCUAAGGAUGAGUCUGCGGACUAUCAGGUUGUAGUCAGGGUAAUGACCUGACUAGCCUACGACGGAUACGGGUAGUGAGAGCUUUAGCCCGGAGAUGAUAUCUGAGACACGAUAUCAGGCCCUACGGGGCGCAGCAGGCGCGAAAACUUCGCACUGUGCGAAAGCACGACGAGGGAAUCCCAAGUGCUGGCUCGUAAGAGUCAGCUGUUUCUCUGUCUAAAAAACAGGGAGAGUAAGGGCUGGGUAAGACGGGUGCCAGCCGCCGCGGUAAUACCUGCAGCCCAAGUGGCGGCCGCUAUUAUUGGGCCUAAAACGUCCGUAGCCGGUUCUAUAAAUGCCUGGGUAAAUCGUACGGCUUAACCGUACGAAUUCCGGGUAGACUGCUGGACUUGGGACUGGGAGAGGCUAGAGGUACUCCUGGGGUAGAGGUGAAAUUCUGUAAUCCUAGGGGGACGACCAGUGGCGAAGGCGUCUAGCUAGAACAGGUCUGACGGUGAGGAACGAAGCCCUGGGGCGCAAACGGGAUUAGAUACCCCGGUAGUCCAGGGUGUAAACGCUGCUUGCUUGAUGUUAGUCGGGCUCCGAGCCCGAUUAGUGUCGGAGAGAAGUUGUUAAGCAAGCUGCCUGGGGAGUACGGCCGCAAGACUGAAACUUAAAGGAAU